CCUACGGGAGGCAGCAGUGAGGAAUAUUGGUCAAUGGGCGGGAGCCUGAACCAGCCAAGUCGCGUGAGGGAAGACGGUCCUAUGGAUUGUAAACCUCUUUAGGCGGGGAGCAAUGCCGGGCACGCGUGCCCGGAGGGAGAGUACCCGCAGAAUAAGCAUCGGCAAACUCCGUGCCAGCAGCCGCGGUAAUACGGAGGAUGUGAGCGUUAUCCGGAUUUAUGGGGGUUAAAGGGUGCGUAGGCGGAUUUUUAAGUCAGCGGUAAAAUGUCCGGGCUCAACCCGGGCCGGCCGUUGAAACUGGGGAUCUUGAGUGGGCGAGAGGUAUGCGGAAUGCGUGGUGUAGCGGUGAAAUGCGUAGAUAUCACGCAGAACUCCGAUUGCGAAGGCAGCAUACCGGCGCCCGACUGACGCUGAGGCACGAAAGCGUGGGGAUCGAACAGGAUUAGAUACCCGGGUAGUC
RNAcentral lists this ribosomal RNA (460 nucleotides) under uncultured bacterium. RNAcentral describes it as "partial 16S ribosomal RNA". It matches the Rfam family "Bacterial small subunit ribosomal RNA", at positions 338 to 795 of the family's 1533-position model. The record is from RNAcentral.